GACGAACGCUGGCGGCGUGCUUAACACAUGCAAGUCGAACGGUGAAGCGCCUUCCCUUUUGGUUGGUGGGGAGGAGGGGGGAACGGGUGAGUAACACGAGAGUAACCUGCCCCCUUCUUCGGGAUAACCGCAGGAAAGUGAGGCUAAUACGGGAUAUUCUGGGUCUGUCGCAUGAUGGGUCUGGGAAAGAUAUUGUUUCUGUGGGGGAUGGUCUCGCGGCCUAUCAGGUUGGUGGUGGGGUGAUGGCCUACCAAGGCGGUGACGGGGGGCCGGCCUGGGAGGGUCGGCGGUCCCAGUGGGGAUGCGCCACCGCGCCGACUCCUACAGGCGGCAGCAGUGGGUAUUAUUGCACAGUGGGCGCAAGGCUGAUGCCGCGACGCCGCGUGAGGGAUGGCGGCCUUCGGGUUGUGAACCUCUUUCGCCAGUGAAGCAGGCCUGCCUCGUUUGUGGGUGGGUUGACGGUAGCUGGAUAAGAAGCGCCGGCUAACUACGUG
Molecule: ribosomal RNA, 494 nt
Filed under: uncultured bacterium
Lineage: Bacteria
Description: partial 16S ribosomal RNA
Rfam family: Bacterial small subunit ribosomal RNA
Source: RNAcentral